GAAAGGAGGACCCUCCCCAAACAAACCUUCACCCCCUGGCUGCAAAUCCUUCCCAAGAACAAAUACGCUACAGCCGGUCUUCGCGCAAGGUCCCCAAAUGCGUCACUCUAUGCAACAUGUCCCUUCCCCUAGUAAAUCAUUCCCAUCAAAAAUCAGUGCAGGUAGAGACAGAAUCAAUACCUGCAGGGGCCACUGUAGCUACAGGAUAGGAGACAGGUCCCCCGCCACACUGGACACAGACCCUCCUUGAGCCCGCUCAUUAAACAGGGCAGGGGUGGGGCUGCCUGACUGGCCAAGCCCUGGCCUUGGGUUCUGGCUGACUUCUGCUCAGAGCGCCACCGGCCCUACACAGCCCACGGUACCCAGAGCCUGAACACUUUCCGGCCAUCUGCAACAUAAGCACUUAGGAACCAACCUGUGAGCCUACAGGCUUUUCCAGGGGUGCCAGGAGCACCAAGGAGCUGAAAUGAUGGGACCAGGAAAGGAGAACACUGCAGAGUCCAAAGAUCCUGCUGAGUGACUUCCAAGGAAUAUCAUAUCCAAGAUCCAUGCUGCGGAGGAAGAGACCACGUCACCAGGAUGAGAACGAGACUGGCCCCACCCUCGUUCCUUCUACAGUGUACCACUUCCUAAUAUAGACUGCAUCUUCGCACGCCCGGAAUGGAUAAAAAUGGAUAGCUAUCAUUUGAGGAUCAGCAAAACUAAAAGGACUUCCCAACUCACUGCGAAACUUUGUUAAGAACCUGGAAGAAGGGCUGGGGACAUGGCUCAGUGCAGAGCACCUGCCUAGCAUGUGGCAGGCCCUGGGUUCCAACUCCAGCACCACCAAAACCAAAACCAAAAGAACCUCUGGAGAGGAUUCUGGAAUAAGAUGCUGAUCUUCUGCAGAACCCUAUGAAGCAGAUUAUAACAAAGAAAAGGAUGUCCUCUUAAGACAGGCCUGAGGACUGGCCUAUAAAAGCAGGCCACAGACUGCACCGGGACCAAUCUGAUUAUCCAGACAGAUUCCUGCACAACCUGCACUAACGCCAUGACACUCAGGUGGCCCUUCAGCUGCUCAGGGCAGAGUGUUCUGCUCUGGAGCUAUUGGAACACACCUCUUAUCUCUUCAGCUGGAGUCCCUGGAGGCAGAAGGCUACUGGUCUCUCUGCCGGCACUGCCUGUGCCUGGAUCCCAGGAGGGGCUUCACUGGCGGCUCCUGAAUGGAGGGAGCAUGCUCUGAGGCCCCAGGAAACACACACAGAGCCACUCACCUCACAGACCUGUUUUUCUGGGCAUCUGCAAAUUGAGCUGUCAGGGCAUUUUUUCCAACUGAACAACACCAGGUAUUAUUUAUUUCAAAGGAAGCUCACAUUUAUAAAUAAAUAAAAUUGGAUCUUAAUA
Molecule: long non-coding RNA, 1383 nt
Organism: Marmota monax (woodchuck)
Lineage: Eukaryota; Metazoa; Chordata; Mammalia; Rodentia; Sciuridae
Exons: 2
Source: RefSeq, a predicted model, not a curated record